AUUAUUGUUUGGCUUCUUAUUUUUUUUAUUGCAUUUUAUUUUAUUUUGGGUUACUUUUUUUUUUUUUUAAGUUGAAAAUUAAACAAAUUAGCCAAAAAAAAAAGAAAUCGAAUAUGCUGAAUUGAGCUAUAGGGUUGGAUCCUAUUAAUUAGCAAAAAUUCCUAUAGUUUAAAAAAAAAAAAAAAAAAAAACAACGAAAAAAAAAGAGAAAAAAAGAGAAAAAAUAUAAAACAUAUUUCUACUUCACUUUGUACAAUCCAUAUUGUCUAGUCAAGUAGUUGCAAGCCUGUUCUGUAUAGCGAAUGUCAACUACGCAGUUUAUAAUAUUUAACGAUACUUAG
This is a non-coding RNA of Schizosaccharomyces pombe (fission yeast), 341 nucleotides long. NCBI's taxonomy places the organism in Eukaryota, Fungi, Ascomycota, Schizosaccharomycetes, Schizosaccharomycetales, Schizosaccharomycetaceae. The record is from the annotation of a GenBank genome assembly.